RNAcentral lists this ribosomal RNA (2107 nucleotides) under Pinus taeda (loblolly pine). Its description in RNAcentral is "SSU rRNA". It matches the Rfam family "Eukaryotic small subunit ribosomal RNA". The record is from RNAcentral. Lineage: Eukaryota; Viridiplantae; Streptophyta; Pinopsida; Pinales; Pinaceae.
CCUAGUUGAUCCUGCCAGUAUUCAUGUGCUUGUCUCAAAUAUUAAGCCAUGCAUGUCUAAGUAUGAAAUAAUUCAGACUGUGAAACUGUGGAUGGCUCAUUAAAUCAGUUAUAAUGUUUUUGAUGGUACCAUACUUCUCAGAUAACUGUAGUAAUUCUAUAGAUAAUAUGUGCACCAAGUCUCAACUCUUUGGAAGGAUGCAUUUUUUAGAUAAAAUGUUGGUGCAAGCUUGCCCGCUUCUAUGGUUAAUCAUGAUAACUCAAUGGAUUGCACAACCUUUAUGUUGGCGAUGCUUGAUUCAAGUUUCUGCCCUAUCAACUUUCGAUGGUAGGAUAGAGGCAUACCAUGGUGGUGAUGGGUGAUGGAGAAUUAGGGAUUGAUUCUAGAGAGAGAGCUUGAAAAACUGUUACCACAUCCAAGGAAGGCAGCAGUCAUGCAAAUUACCCAAUCCUAACAUGGGGAGGUAGUUACAAUAAAUAACAAUACUGGGCUCAUCGAGUCUGGUAACUUUAAUGAGUACAAUAUAAAUCCCUUAAUGAGGAUCCAUUGGAGGGAAAGUCUGGUGCUAGUAGAUGUGGUAAUUCCAGCUCCAAUAGCAUAUAUUUAAGUUGUUGUAGUUGAAAAGCUCGUAGUUGGAUAUUGGGUCAUAAAGUUUAGUCCACCUACUCAGUGCGCACUUUCCCUUUUAUCACUUUUGUUGGCAGCAUGAUCCUGGCCUUAAUUGGAUAGGUUGUGGCUCCGGUGUUGUUACUUUGAAAAAAUUAGAGUGCUCCAAACAAGCUUAUGCUCUGAAAACAUUAGCAUGGAAUAAUGUGGUAGGAUUCUAGUCCUAUUAUGUUUGUCUUUGGGACUGGAGUAAUGAUUAAUAGGGACUAUCGGGGAAAUUUGUAUUUCAUUGUCAGAGGUGAAAUUCUUGGAUUUAUGAAAGGCAGACCACUACGAAAUCAUUUGCAAAGGAUGUUGUCAUUAAUCAAGAAAACAAGUUGGGGGCAUGGAAAAUUUUAGGGGCUAAUGUUCGCCUAGUGGGCUAAUUUUCCAUGAUUUUUCCAAAAACCGAUUCGCCAAUUUCCAAUUUUUAUAAAAGAUGAUUCGCCCAAAUUUUAGAAUAUAAAAUUAUUUUACCUUAAAAAUCGCCAACAUUAUAUAGUGGCUAUAUGAUAAAUCAUUAUAAAUUUGAAUAAUUUUACAAAUAUAUCAUUGAAAAAUUUAUAGUUUUCAUAUUAGGGAUUAGUGAGAUUCGCCAAUGUUUCUAAACUUCAAGAAAAUUUUCCAUCCUUAAAAUUUUCCUUGGUUGGGGGCUUGAAGAUGAUCAAAUACCAUCCUAGUCUCAACCAUAAACAAUGCUAACUAGGGAUCAACGAAUGUUGCUCUGAGGACUCUUCCAGAACCUUCUAAGAAUUCAGAGUGUUUGGGUUCCGAGGGGAGUAUGGUUGCAAGGCUAAAACUUAAAAGAAUUAACAGAAGGGCACCACUAGGAGUGGAUCCUGCAGCUUUAUUUGACUCAACACGGGGAAACUUACCAGGUCCAGACAUAGUAAGGAUUGACAAAUUGAGAGCUCUUUCUUGAUUCUAUGGGUGGUGGUGCAUGGUUGUUCUUAGUUGGUGGAGUGAUUUGUCUAGUUAAUUCUGAUAAUGAACGAGACCUUAGCCUACUAACUAGCUACACAGAGGUUCCUUUUCACAGCCAGCUUCUUAGAAGGACUAUGGCCAUUUAGGACAUGGAAGUUUGAGGAAAUAAUAGGUCUGUGAUUCCUUUAGAUGUUCUCAGUCGCACGCACACUACACUGAUGCAGCCAAUGAGUUUUUCUUUCUUGUUCAAGGGGAUCAGGAAAAUUUCUCAAAUUGCAUCGUGAUGGGGAUAGAACAUUGCAAUUAUUGGUCGUUAAUGAGGAAUUCCUAGUAAGUGUGUGUCAUCAACUCGUCUUGACUAUGUCCCUCCCUUUCUACACACCGCUCGUCGCUCCUACUGAUUGAAUGGUCAAUGAAGUGUUCGAAUUGUGUUGACGAUGGAGGUUUGUUGUCAUUGAUGUUGUGAGAAGUUCAUUGAACCUUAUCAUUUAGAGGAAGGAGAAGUGUAAUAAGGUUACUGUAGGUGAACCUAUAGUAG